This 261-nucleotide ribosomal RNA is filed under the name uncultured archaeon. RNAcentral describes it as "partial 16S ribosomal RNA". It matches the Rfam family "Archaeal small subunit ribosomal RNA", at positions 748 to 1009 of the family's 1478-position model. The record is from RNAcentral.
CAGCCCUAAACGAUGCGCGUUAGGUGUAUCGGUGACCACGAGUCACCGAGGUGCCGAAGGGAAACCGUGAAACGUGCCGCCUGGGAAGUACGGUCGCAAGGCUGAAACUUAAAGGAAUUGGCGGGAGCACCACAACGGGUGGAGCCUGCGGGUUUAAUUUGGACUCAACGCCGGGAAGCUCACCGGAUAAGACAGCGGAAUGAUUGCCGGGCUGAAGACUCUGCAUGACUAGCUGAGAGGAGGUGCAUGGCGUAGACGUCU